Molecule: ribosomal RNA, 436 nt
Filed under: uncultured Pseudoflavonifractor sp.
Lineage: Bacteria; Bacillati; Bacillota; Clostridia; Eubacteriales; Oscillospiraceae
Description: partial 16S ribosomal RNA
Rfam family: Bacterial small subunit ribosomal RNA
Source: RNAcentral
ACGGGAGGCAGCAGUGGGGAAUAUUGCACAAUGGGCGCAAGCCUGAUGCAGCAACGCCGCGUGAGGGAAGACGGUUUUCGGAUUGUAAACCUCUGUCUUUGGUGACGAAGAAGUGACGGUAGCCAAGGAGGAAGCCACGGCUAACUACGUGCCAGCAGCCGCGGUAAUACGUAGGUGGCAAGCGUUAUCCGGAUUUACUGGGUGUAAAGGGCGUGUAGGCGGGACAUCAAGUCAGAUGUGAAAGCACGAGGCUCAACUUCGUGUCUGCAUUUGAAACUGACGUUCUUGAGUGUUGGAGAGGCUAACGGAACUCCUAGUGUAGCGGUGAAAUGCGUAGAUAUUAGGAAGAACACCAGUGGCGAAGGCGGUUAGCUGGACAAUAACUGACGCUGAGGCGCGAAAGCGUGGGUAGCAAACAGGAUUAGAUACCCUGGUA